Molecule: long non-coding RNA, 3169 nt
Filed under: Homo sapiens (human)
Lineage: Eukaryota; Metazoa; Chordata; Mammalia; Primates; Hominidae
Description: HSALNT0070445
Source: RNAcentral
CCUAUUUGAAAGAAACAAAAUUUUAUUUAUUUAUGGAUGACAUACUGUAUAUAUGGAAAAUCCCAGGGAGGCUAUAAAAAAGGAUAGUAGAAGUAGUAAGCUUAGCAAGGUCUCAGGAUACAAGGUCAAUAUAAAAUAUCAAUUGUAUUUUACAUUUUAAUAACAAAAGAUUGGAAAUUGAAAUAAAAUACCAUUGUUUAAAUACAAUAGCAUCAAAAAAUGUGAAAGAAGUAGGGAUAAUUUUAACAAAAUAUGUGCAAGAACUGUACAUUGAAAACUACAAAAUAUUACUGAGUAAAAUUAAAGCAGAUCUAAAUAAAUGGAGAGAUAUGCCAUGUUUAUGGAUUGGAGGACUCAACAUUGUUAAUGAUAUCAAUUAUUUCCAGGCUGAUCUAUUAAGCCAAUGCUAUCUCAAUAAAAAUUAACGCAGACUUUUUACUUCUUUUGGUGCAGAUUAAAAAGUUCUUUAGAAAUGCGAAGAAGCUAGAAUGGCCAAAUAGUUUUAACAUACGUGAAUAAAGUUAGAGGACUUACACUACCUGAUUUCAAGAUUUACUAUAAAACUACAAAAAUCAAGAGAGUGCAAUAUUGAAAUUAGGUUAGACAAAAAUUCAUGAACAGAAUAGAGGGUCCAGAAACCAGCCCAUACACAUAAUCAGUUAAUUUUAUACAAAGGUACUGAUGUGAAAGGGAAAAGACAGUCUCUUCAGCAAAUGAUUUAUAUCCACGUGCAAAAACAAAACCUCAACCCUUAACUUGCACCAUACACAAAAAUUAACUUGGAAAAAAAGCGAUCAUAAACCUAAAUGUAUGAGUUAAUCUUUAAAGUUUCUAGAAGAAAACAUAGGGAAAAAAAUAUUUGUGACUUUGACUUAAGCAAAGAUUUCUUGGAGAGGAAGCAAAAAAUAUAAACCAUAAAAGAAAAAAUAGAUAAAUUGGAUCUCAACAAAAUUAAAACUUUUUCUCUUUAAAAGACAGUUAAGAAUAUUAACUAUCUCAUAGUUAAGAAAAUUAAAUAUCCUAUAGGCUGGGAGAAAAUUUUGCAAACCAUAUGCUACAUCCAGAAUAAAGACUCCUUACAACUUUCUUUGUUUUGAUACAAGGUCUCCCUCUGUCAUCCAGGCUGGAAUGCAGUGGCGGGAUCACAGCUCACUGCAGCCUUAACCCCCAGCCUCAAGCGAUCCUCCCACUUCAGCAUCCCCACCACUCCCACCAGUAGCUGAAACUACAGGUGUGCACCACCAUGCCUGGCUAAUUUUUUUUGUAUUUUUUGUAGGGAUGUGGUUUUACCAUGUUGCCCAAGCUGGUGUUGAACUCCUGGGCUCAAGCCAUCUUCCUGCCUUGGCCUCCCAAAGUGCUGGGAUUAUAGGUGUGAGCCACCACACCUAGCCUAUAACUUAGUAAGAUCAUUGAUUUAAAAUGGACAAAAGAUUUGAACAGAUACUUUACAAAAGAAUAUGUAUAAAUGGCAAAUAAGUAUGAAAAUAUGCUCAAUAUCAUUAGGAAAAUACAAAUUAUAACCACUUAUUAGAAUGACUAAUAUGACAACACCAAGUGUUGGUAGUAAGGAUUGGGAAACACUGGAACUCAUAUACUGUUGGUGGCAACGUAAAACAGUAGAACCACUUCAGAAGAGUUUGGAGGCCUCCUUCUAAGUUAAACACGUGCUUACACAUAACCCAGAAAUCCUACUCCUAAGGUAUUUACCCCAGAUAAAUGAAGAUAUAUGUCCACAUGAAGGCUUGUGCACAAAUGUUUAUAGUAGCUGUAUCCAUAAUACACCCAAACUGAAAACAACAUGAAUGUACAUUAACAAUGGUAAAUAAAAAAAUUGUGAAAUACUCAUACAAUGAAAUCCUAGGCAGUAGUAAAAAGGAAUGAACUACUAUCACAUAAUAUGGAUGAAUCUCAAAACAUGCUAAGCAAAAGAAGCCAGACACAAAAAAGUACAUAUGGAUGAUUCCAUUUACGUGAAACUCUAGAAAAGAUGAAUCUAAUCUUUAGGGACAGAAGCAGAUGAGUGGUUGGAGUGAAUGCGUGUAUGGGGGAUUGGAUGGGGAGGGGCACAAAAGGAACUAUUUUGGGAGAUGGAAAUGUUCUAUAUCUUGAUGUGGUGGUGGUGACAUGGGUAUAUACAUUUGUUAAGACUUAUAGAACUGUACACUUAAAAUGCAUUUUAUUUUACAUAAAAUAUACAUAUAACUUUAUUGUACAUAAAUUAUACUUAAUAAAGUUAACUUAAAUGAAAAAAAAGAGUGACUGAACCAUUUCAUUUUUUCCUCUGAAAAUAUUCUUUCCUUUUGGACUUCCAAAGGCAACUCCGCAAAUUCCUUUAUCAGUAAAUGAGUGAAUUAGAAUAGAUGAUGUCAUUCGUUCAUUCAAUAAAUAUUUACUAAAGUCUAUUAUGGGGCAAACACAAUGCUAGAUUCUAGAGAUAUAUGGCUGAAAAGGAAUCCAAUUUUGUCCUCAAGGAGUCACAGUCUAGUGGGAGUGAAAGACAAGCUAACUUGAUUAUAAUACAUCUUAUGUAUAUGUAGGGGUUAAGGAUUCUUAAGAGAAGCAGUCUUCCCUGAUGAUGCAAUACCUGAGGUGGGUUUUGAUGUACAAGUCCGGUGUGGUCACUCACGCCUGUAAUCCCAGCACUUUGGAAGGCUGAGGCGGGUGGAUCACUUGAGGUCAGGAGUUUGAGACCUGGUUGGCCAACGUAGUGAAAACCUGUCUCUACUAAAAAUACAAAAACUUAGCCAGGUGUUAUGGCGCAUGCCUGUAGUCCCAGCUAUUUGGGAGGCUGAGGCAGGAGAAUCACUUGAACCCAGGAGGUGGAGGUUGCAGUGAGCUGAGAUCGCAUCACUGCACUCCAGCCUGGGUGACAGAGCCAGACUGCGUCAAAAAAAAAAAAAAUAGCAUGGGUAAGGCAGCCCGAUGACCCUCAGUGCAGUGUUUUAACAAGCAGCCAAGAGCACAGCUUGGCAGAGAGGGGUCUGCGGAAGCAGCAAAGUGGGUGGUUGUCAACCAGGUCUGGCUUUGGGAUUCAGAUUCAGAUCUACUGCCUAGAGCCACCUGUUUCAAAUGAAAGGAUCUGCUAUGGCAUGGUCCAUUCAUCUUUACAGACAUAGUCUUAAACUAUCAGGUUAAAUGAUAGAAAUGCUAAUGAAGUUGUGCAUUCUUC